UACGGAGGAUGCAAGCGUUAUCCGGAAUCACUGGGCGUAAAGCGUCUGUAGGCGGUUUGCUAAGUCUGUUGUUAAAGCUUGAAGCUCAACUUCAAAAAUGCAAUAGAAACUAGUAGACUUGAGUAUGGUAGGGGUAGAGGGAAUUUCCAGUGAAGUGGUGAAAUGCGUAGAUAUUGGAAAGACCGCCAAAGGCGAAGGCGCUCUACUGGGCCACAACUGACACUGAGAGACGAAAGCUAGGGGAGCAAAUGGG
Molecule: ribosomal RNA, 253 nt
Filed under: uncultured bacterium
Lineage: Bacteria
Description: partial 16S ribosomal RNA
Rfam family: Bacterial small subunit ribosomal RNA
Source: RNAcentral